Molecule: ribosomal RNA, 729 nt
Filed under: uncultured eukaryote
Lineage: Eukaryota
Description: SSU rRNA
Rfam family: Eukaryotic small subunit ribosomal RNA
Source: RNAcentral
CGGGUGCACUGAUCCGGCCGGGCCUUUCCCUCUGUGGAACCCCAUGGCCUUCACUGGCUGUGCGGGGGAAACAGGACUUUUACUGUGAAAAAAUUAGAGUGCUCCAGGCAGGCCUAUGCUCGAAUACAUUAGCAUGGAAUAAUAGAAUAGGACGCGUGGUUCUAUUUUGUUGGUUUCUAGGACCGCCGUAAUGAUUAAUAGGGACAGUCGGGGGCAUCAGUAUUCAAUUGUCAGAGGUGAAAUUCUUGGAUCUAUUGAAGACUAACUACUGCGAAAGCAUUUGCCAAGGAUGUUUUCAUUGAUAAGGAACGAAAGUUAGGGGAUCGAAGACGAUCAGAUACCGUCGUAGUCUUAACUAUAAACUAUGCCGACUAGGGAUCGGACGAUGUUAUUUCUUGACGCGUUCGGCACCUUUCGAGAAAUCAAAGUGCUUGGGCUCCAGGGGGAGUAUGGUCGCAAGGCUGAAACUUAAAGAAAUUGACGGAAGGGCACCACCAGGGGUGGAACCUGCGGCUUAAUUUGACUCAACACGGGGAAACUCACCAGGUCCAGACACAGUGAGGAUUGACAGAUUGAGAGCUCUUUCUUGAUUCUGUGGGUGGUGGUGCAUGGCCGUCCUUAGUUGGUGGAGUGAUUUGUCUGCUUAAUUGCGAUAACGAACGAGACCUUAACCUGCUAAAUAGCCCGUACUGCUCUGGCAGUUCGCCGGCUUCUUAGAGGGACUAUCGG